Molecule: ribosomal RNA, 2273 nt
Filed under: activated sludge metagenome
Description: bacterial LSU rRNA
Rfam family: Bacterial large subunit ribosomal RNA
Source: RNAcentral
GAAAGUAAGCAAGGGCGCAUGGCGGAUGCCUUGGCUCUCAGAGGCGAUGAAGGACGUGAUAAGCUGCGAUAAGCUGCGGUGAUUGGCAAAUACGAUUUGAUCCGCAGAUUUCCGAAUGGGGCAACCCGCCGGACUGACGGUCCGGCACACCUGUAAAGGUGGGCUAACGUGGGGAACUGAAACAUCUUAGUACCCAUAGGAGAAGAAAAUAAUAAUGAUUCCCUUAGUAGUGGCGAUCGAACGGGGAGCAGCCCAAACCGUUAUUGUUUUGGCAAUAGCGGGGUUAUAGGAGUAUAUCUAAGCUAUAGUUUAGUCAACUGGAAGUGUCUGGAAAGUCACACCAUAGACAGUGAUAGUCUGGUACAGGUACGCUUGAGCUAUAGUGAUAUACCACCUGAGUAGCGCGGGACACGUGGAAUCUUGCGUGAAUUUGCGGGGACCAUCCCGUAAGGCUAAAUACUUCUGAGAGACCGAUAGUGUACUAGUACUGUGAAGGAAAGGUGCAAAGGACCUCGAACAGAGGAGUGAAAUAGUUCCUGAAACCAUGCGCUUACAAGCGGUCGGAGCCCUUUUUGUGGGGUGACGGCGUGCCUUUUGCAUAAUGAACCUACGAGUUACUGUUGUCGGCCAGGUUAAGGUGUUCAGCACCGUAUCCGAAGCGAAGGCGAGUCUUAAUAGGGCGUUUGAGUCGGCGGCAGUAGACGCGAAACCAAGUGAUCUACCCAUGGUCAGGCUGAAGUUUGGGUAACGCCAACUGGAGGGCCGAACCGCAAAACGUUGAAAAGUUUUCGGAUGAAUUGUGGGUAGGGGUGAAAGGCUAAUCAAACUUGGAGAUAGCUCGUACUCCCCGAAAUGCAUUUAGGUGCAGCCUUGGGAGUUUCUUAUGAGAGGUAGAGCGACUGAUUGGAUGCGAGGGCUUCACCGCCUAUCAAGUCUUGAUAAACUCCGAAUGCUCAUAAGUUAUCCUGGGAGUGAGGGCAUGGGUGCUAAGGUCCGUGUCCGAGAGGGAAAGAACCCAGACCAUCAGCUAAGGUCCCCAAAUGAUACCUAAGUUAUAUGAACGAAGUCAGAUUGCACAGACAGCUAGGAUGUUGGCUUGGAAGCAGCCAUUCAUUUAAAGAGUGCGUAACAGCUCACUAGUCGAGGAGUUUGGCAUGGAUAAUAACCGGGUAUAAGGUAUCUACCGAAGCUAUGGAUUAUAUGGUAGGGGAGCAUUCCAUUGUCGUUGAAUGUGAAGUGUGAGCUUUGCUGGAGAUUAUGGAAACGCAAAUGUAGGUAUAAGUAACGAUAAAGGGGGUGAGAAACCUCCUCGCCGAAAGACUCAGGAUUCCUGAUCAACGUUAAUCGGAUCAGGGUUAGUCGGGCACUAAGGAUAAGCCGAAGGGCGAUUCCGAUGUCAGAAUCGGUUAAUAUUCCGAUACUGGCUUUAUGAGUGACGUGGAGACGGAGAAGUGACAGUGUCGCCAACUGACGGAAUAGUUGGUUAAAGGGUGUAGACGUUGAUUGUGGCAGGCAAAUCCGCCGCGAGAGUUGAACCUGAUAGUACCGAGAGCCCUUGUGGCGAUCGGAUAGUACAUGUAAACAGGCUUCCAAGAAAAUCCGCUAAACAUAUCAUAGAGUCACCCGUACCUCAAACCGACACAGGUAGUUGGGUAGAGUAUACUAAGGCGCUCGAGUGAAUCACGGUUAAGGAACUAGGCAAAUUUGUCCUGUAACUUUGGGAGAAAGGACGCCACAGCGAUGUGGUCGCAGAGAAUUGGUCCAGGCGACUGUUUAGCAAAAACACAGGGCUAUGCUAAAUCGAAAGAUGCUGUAUAUGGCCUGACACCUGCCCGGUGCCGGAAGGUUAAGAGGAGAUGUUAUCGUGAGAGAAGCAUUGAAUUGAAGCCCCGGUAAACGGCGGCCGUAACUAUAACGGUCCUAAGGUAGCGAAAUUCCUUGUCGGGUAAGUUCCGACCUGCACGAAUGGUGUAACGAUCUGGACACUGUCUCAACCGUGAGCUCGGUGAAAUUGUAGUAUCGGUGAAGAUGCCGAUUACCCGUAACGGGACGGAGAGACCCCGUGAACCUUUACUGCAGCUUAACAUUGAAUUUGGGUAUCAGAUGUGUAGGAUAGGCCGGAGACUGUGAAUCAGGUACGCUAGUAUUUGUGGAGUCAUCCUUGAAAUACGGUCCUUUUGUUAUUUGAAUUCUAACCCGCGUUAUUUUGUGGGGACACUGUUUGGUGGGUAGUUUGACUGGGGUGGUCGCCUCCAAAAGAGUAACGGAGGCUC